Molecule: long non-coding RNA, 223 nt
Organism: Salvelinus fontinalis (brook trout)
Lineage: Eukaryota; Metazoa; Chordata; Actinopteri; Salmoniformes; Salmonidae
Exons: 3
Source: RefSeq, a predicted model, not a curated record
UGAUACAUGUCUGUUUCUCCAGAGAGCCAGAGAGUGGAGGAGUUCAGUCUGUGGGGGUCUCAGCCGACCCGCCUCUAGCCACUGCCCUCAUGACCAAGGAAUACCAUGUUCCAGUGGUGGGCCAACCCCAGUCUGACAGUCACUUCCUGCAGAGGACAGGUCCUCCACCCAGGUCCAAUCCUCCCAGACUUUCUGAAGAACCAGUCCGUUGGGACAGGUACAG